RNAcentral lists this long non-coding RNA (252 nucleotides) under Mytilus galloprovincialis (Mediterranean mussel). The record is from RNAcentral. Lineage: Eukaryota; Metazoa; Mollusca; Bivalvia; Mytilida; Mytilidae.
AGACACCGAGAAACAGAACGGUAUUUACAUUUGAUUAUGCAUGUUAUUCAAACUCAAGUAAGACUGUCAGUACUAGAAUUUUACGAGGAAUUAUGAUCGACCUCCAAACAUGCAGAGGCAGAAAAUGUAUCAGAAUUAUGAAAAGUUUAAUGUUUGUUGAUAGGCCUUUGCAAUUUAUAUGAGAACACAUUGUAAAGUGCCAAGUCAUGAAAGUCCAUUGAUGUUUGAAUGAUUUGUAAUUGGCUAAGCAAU